AGCAGCCGCGGUAAUUCCAGCUCCAAUAGCGUAUAUUAAAGUUGUUGCAGUUAAAAAGCUCGUAGUUGAAUUUCGGGGUCAGUGAGUUGGUCGUGCCACUGGUAUGCACUGGCUUUACUGACUCCUCCUUCUUGAAGAACUGUAAUGCUAUUAAUUUAGUGUUGCAGGGAAACAGGACUGUUACUUUGAAAAAAUUAGAGUGUUUAAAGCAGGCUAACGCUUGAAUACAUUAGCAUGGAAUAAUGAAAUAGGACGUUUGAUCCUAUUUUGUUGGUUUCUAGGAUUGACGUAAUGAUUAAUAGGGAUAGUUGGGGGCAUUAGUAUUCAAUUGUCAGAGGUGAAAUUCUUGGAUUUAUUGAAGACUGACUACUGCGAAAGCAUUUGCCAAGGAUGUUUUCAUUAAUCAAGAACGAAAGUUAGGGGAUCGAAGACGAUCAGAUACCGUCGUAGUCUUAACCAUAAACUAUGCCGACUAGGGAUCGGAUGAUGUUAAUUUUUAAUGA
RNAcentral lists this ribosomal RNA (503 nucleotides) under uncultured Glomus. Its description in RNAcentral is "SSU rRNA". It matches the Rfam family "Eukaryotic small subunit ribosomal RNA", at positions 569 to 1074 of the family's 1831-position model. The record is from RNAcentral. Lineage: Eukaryota; Fungi; Glomeromycota; Glomeromycetes; Glomerales; Glomeraceae.